Molecule: unclassified non-coding RNA, 349 nt
Filed under: Hevea brasiliensis (rubber tree)
Lineage: Eukaryota; Viridiplantae; Streptophyta; Magnoliopsida; Malpighiales; Euphorbiaceae
Source: RNAcentral
GUCGUUUUGGUCACUAAUAAACACGAUUGUGGAGGUGCAGAGUAUGCAAGAAAUAAGGAAAUCCCCGUUAUUUUGUUUCCUAGAACCAAAGAUGAACCUGAUGGACUAUCCCCGAGUGACCUUUUAUCUGCUCUUAGGGAAUUUGAUGUUGACUUCAUUCUUCUAGCUGGAUAUCUCAAACUUAUACCAGUAGAAUUGAUCCAAGCUUAUCCCAAAUGCAUAUUAAAUAUCCAUCCAUCACUUCUUCCAGCCUUUGGAGGCAAAGGCUACUAUGGUAUGAAGGUUCAUAAAGCAGUCAUCGCUUCUGGAGCAAGAUACUCGGGGGCAACUAUCCAUUUUGUUGACCAGC